GAUGAACGCUGGCGGCGUGCUUAACACAUGCAAGUCGAACGAUAAGGCCCUGCUUUCGGGGUGUGUUAGUGGCGAACGGGUGAGUGACACGUGAGUGACAUCCGCUUUACUCUUUGGGAAACCUUGAGAACUGUGGCGAAUACACGGGAUAGGCGCUCCCCGCGUGGGGGGGGUGGGGGAGAGUUUUGGCGGUUGGGGAUGGACUCGCGGCAUAUCAGCUUGUUGGUGGGGUAGUGGCUUACCAAGGCCACGACGGGUAGCCGGCCUGAGAGGGUGACCGGCCACACUGGGACUGAGACACGGCCCAGACUCCUACGGGAGGCAGCAGUGGGGAAUAUUGCACAAUGGGCGCAAGCCUGAUGCAGCGACGCCGCGUGAGGGAUGACGGCCUUCGGGUUGUAAACCUCUUUCGGUAGGGACGAAGCGAAAGUGACGGUAACUGCAGAAGAAGCACCGGCUAACUACGUG
This 468-nucleotide ribosomal RNA is filed under the name uncultured bacterium. RNAcentral's name for it is "partial 16S ribosomal RNA". It matches the Rfam family "Bacterial small subunit ribosomal RNA", at positions 28 to 507 of the family's 1533-position model. The record is from RNAcentral.